AUUCUAAAGAUCAAACUUGGCACGGUCAUCACUGGUACCCAUGUCUGGCAAUUCUUAACCCUUUGGAUACUCGUGAACGACUUUCAUCUUGAUGAACAAAUCGCGGAUGACAUCGUUUGGAAGCACUCAAAUGAUGGACUUUACUCGGCAACUACCGCUUACAAGGCUCAAUUCCUUGGGUUGACUCUUUCCUCGAUGGAUUUCAUGGUUUGA
Molecule: ribosomal RNA, 213 nt
Filed under: Triticum aestivum (bread wheat)
Lineage: Eukaryota; Viridiplantae; Streptophyta; Magnoliopsida; Poales; Poaceae
Description: partial small subunit ribosomal RNA
Source: RNAcentral